UAGUGUGUGCUUAGUUUACCUACCAAGC
RNAcentral lists this small RNA (28 nucleotides) under Bombyx mori (domestic silkworm). RNAcentral's name for it is "ovarian small RNA-6487". Lineage: Eukaryota; Metazoa; Arthropoda; Insecta; Lepidoptera; Bombycidae. The record is from RNAcentral.